RNAcentral lists this ribosomal RNA (253 nucleotides) under uncultured bacterium. RNAcentral's name for it is "partial 16S ribosomal RNA". It matches the Rfam family "Bacterial small subunit ribosomal RNA", at positions 524 to 776 of the family's 1533-position model. The record is from RNAcentral.
UACGUAGGGUGCAAGCGUUGUCCGGAAUUAUUGGGCGUAAAGAGCUCGUAGGCGGUUCGUCGCGUCGGCUGUGAAAUCCCGAGGCUCAGCCUCGGGUCUGCAGUCGAUACGGGCGGACUGGAGUUCGGCAGGGGAGACUGGAAUUCCUGGUGUAGCGGUGAAAUGCGCAGAUAUCAGGAGGAACACCGGUGGCGAAGGCGGGUCUCUGGGCCGAUACUGACGCUGAGGAGCGAAAGCGUGGGGAGCGAACAGG